UCCCUGGUGGUCCAAUGGUUAGGACUCUGUGCUUUCAGUGCCGAGGGCCAGGGUUCGAUCCCUGGUCAGGGAA
Ovis aries (sheep) is the source of this 73-nucleotide transfer RNA. It matches the Rfam family "tRNA". Rfam says of the family: Transfer RNA (tRNA) molecules are approximately 80 nucleotides in length. Lineage: Eukaryota; Metazoa; Chordata; Mammalia; Artiodactyla; Bovidae. The record is from Rfam.